AGUGAACGCUGGCGGUAGGCCUAACACAUGCAAGUCGAACGGCAGCACAGUAAGAGCUUGCUCUUACGGGUGGCGAGUGGCGGACGGGUGAGGAAUACAUCGGAAUCUACUUUUUCGUGGGGGAUAACGUAGGUAAACUUACGCUAAUACCGCAUACGACCUACGGGUGAAAGCAGGGGAUCUCCGGACCUUGCGCGAUUGAAUGAGCCGAUGUCGGAUUAGCUAGUUGGCGGGGUAAAGGCCCACCAAGGCGACGAUCCGUAGCUGGUCUGAGAGGAUGAUCAGCCACACUGGAACUGAGACACGGUCCAGACUCCUACGGGAGGCAGCAGUGGGGAAUAUUGGACAAUGGGCGCAAGCCUGAUCCAGCCAUACCGCGUGGGUGAAGAAGGCCUUCGGGUUGUAAAGCCCUUUUGUUGGGAAAGAAAAGCAGCAGGUUAAUACCCCGCUGUUCUGACGGUACCCAAAGAAUAAGCACCGGCUAACUUCGUG
RNAcentral lists this ribosomal RNA (492 nucleotides) under uncultured bacterium. Its description in RNAcentral is "partial 16S ribosomal RNA". It matches the Rfam family "Bacterial small subunit ribosomal RNA", at positions 29 to 507 of the family's 1533-position model. The record is from RNAcentral.